Molecule: microRNA, 21 nt
Filed under: Daphnia pulex (common water flea)
Lineage: Eukaryota; Metazoa; Arthropoda; Branchiopoda; Diplostraca; Daphniidae
Also listed under: 1 other name
Description: Dpu-Mir-12606_3p (mature (co-guide))
Source: RNAcentral
UAAAGCUCGGCUAGCAGGAUC